Molecule: ribosomal RNA, 406 nt
Filed under: uncultured bacterium
Lineage: Bacteria
Description: partial 16S ribosomal RNA
Rfam family: Bacterial small subunit ribosomal RNA
Source: RNAcentral
AUUGAACGCUGGCGGCAGGCCUAACACAUGCAAGUCGAGCGAGCGGCGGACGGGUGAGUAAUGUCUGGGAAACUGCCUGAUGGAGGGGGAUAACUACUGGAAACGGUAGCUAAUACCGCAUACAAUCAGAUGUGCCCAGAUGGGAUUAGCUAGGAGGUGGGGUAACGGCUCACCUAGGCGACGAACCCUAGCUGGUCUGAGAGGAUGACCAGCCCCACUGGAACUUAGAUACGGUCCCGACUCCUACGGGAGGCAGCAGUGGGGAAUAUUUCACAAUUGGCGCAAGCCUGAUGCCGCCAUGCCGCGUGUUUUAAGAAGGCCUUCGGGUUGUAAAGCCCUUUCCGCGGGGAGGCGUUACCCGCAGAAGAAGCACCGGCUAACUCCGUGCCAGCAGCCGCGGUAAUUC